ACCUGGCUGGCUCAGUUGGUAGAGCAUGAAACUCUUGAUCUCAGGGUCAUGAGUUCAAGCCCCACUCUAGGUA
RNAcentral lists this transfer RNA (73 nucleotides) under Felis catus (domestic cat). It matches the Rfam family "tRNA". Rfam says of the family: Transfer RNA (tRNA) molecules are approximately 80 nucleotides in length. Their secondary structure includes four short double-helical elements and three loops (D, anti-codon, and T loops). Lineage: Eukaryota; Metazoa; Chordata; Mammalia; Carnivora; Felidae. The record is from Rfam by way of RNAcentral.